Molecule: ribosomal RNA, 245 nt
Filed under: uncultured bacterium
Lineage: Bacteria
Description: partial 16S ribosomal RNA
Rfam family: Bacterial small subunit ribosomal RNA
Source: RNAcentral
GACAGAGGUCUCUAGCGUUGUUCGGAUUCACUGGGCGUAAAGGGUGCGCAGGCGGUCGGGUAAGUCCGGCGUGAAAGCCCCGAGCUCAACUCGGGAAGGGCGUCGGAUACUAUUCGGCUUGAGGUCUGGAGAGGGGACUGGAAUUCCUGGUGUAGCAGUGAAAUGCGUAGAUAUCGGGAGGAACGCCAGUGGCGAAGGCGAGUCCCUGGACAGAUCCUGACGCUGAGGCACGAAAGCCAGGGGAG